GGGGGGGGGGGGGGGGGGGGGGGGGGGGGGGGGGGGGGGGGGGGGGGGGGGGGGGGGGGGGGGGGGGGGGGGCCCUCCCGACCAAUCGCUGCGCAGCUCGGGCCCCCCCCUUUCGCCCCCCUCGCCCACCCGCCUGUUUGUUACGGUCGGGGCCACGUGCCGGCGCCUCGGGCCGGUCACGUGGCGCCCGGGGCCGGGGGUCUGAUGGGGACCGUGGGGAUCUGGAGAGUUCCUGUCCUUGAGGGUUUUCUGUGACUGUUCCGUGUCCUGCUGCUGCUGCUGCCAAUGUGGAUGCGAAUGCUGUGGCUACAAAGGCUUCUUACUGUCUCAUGCUGGGUCCCUCAAAUCCAAGAGCUACUUGGCAGUUUCCAAGGCAACCACCUGUGGAAUAAUUAAAAAGGAUGGAGUGUUAGCGUGCCAGAUAUAAGGAAUUCUUGCCUGGAGAGAGCGUUUCACUUUCGUCUUGAAGAAUCAAACGUGCUUCUGCCAGCAAAGUUAAGCAGUGGCCACGGGUGGGUUAUUGAGGAUCACAGCAAUGGUGAGAGUGGGAUCCUCCUCCUGCACCCCUUCAUUGUCCAGACAUCUGUAGUACAUGGACUGACUGAGCUGGAUGGUUUUAUUUUUGGGUUUUUUUGCAGUGUUUACUGGACUUGUCUCUUCUGGAAUUCAUUAGUGAGAAGUACUGGAGGUGUAAAGCUCUGUGGUUCCCCAGCUUAACUAAGAUCAGCCUGUUCAGUGAGGAACCAUACUCUUUUGUGAACUUUUGAGCCUGAACUCCAUUUAAAAUCCAUUUCUUGCACUGGAAAAGACUUAAGUAAUUCUUACAUAACUAGUUCCAUUACGACCAUAAUUUUCUAGAGCUCAGCCUGCUGCAAGUGUUGAGUCAGUUUAAAGCCUGCUGACCUGUACAUGGAGUAGGGCCACUUGCUCCACCUCCAGUCAACCUACUUCACACUUAAUUUCAUUGAGAUUCCUCAUUAAUUUCACUCCUGAAUUUCAUUUGUAUGUUUUAAUGUCCAGUGAGUAAUCU
RNAcentral lists this long non-coding RNA (1030 nucleotides) under Ficedula albicollis (Collared flycatcher). RNAcentral's name for it is "lncRNA (ENSFALG00000024946.1)". Lineage: Eukaryota; Metazoa; Chordata; Aves; Passeriformes; Muscicapidae. The record is from RNAcentral.